Sturnus vulgaris (Common starling) is the source of this 537-nucleotide non-coding RNA. NCBI's taxonomy places the organism in Eukaryota, Metazoa, Chordata, Aves, Passeriformes, Sturnidae. The record is from RefSeq and is a predicted model, not a curated record.
UAUGAAGUCACUGUGUCACUGUUGCAGGAAAAGAGCAAUUAGGCUGGGUUUUUUACCACUACAAAUUGAGUUAUUGCUUCUUCUUUCUGGGAAUCAGUUGGGGAUGAAUUUGAAAUGGAGAUAGAAUGAAGCUCCAACUUUAGGGCUUCCCAUAUCUGAGUCUUUAUCAUAAGAGAAUUAGGUAGGUUCUAAAGUUCCUGUAAAGCAAGAACAAAUCCUAACCCAGUUACGUCUCUUCAGAAAGGUGAAUGGAUAACUACUAGAGGCUGUAUUUUAUAGAGUAUGUAUUUAAUUUUAUAAAACAACAGUCUUGACAGCCAGAGAGUGAACAAGUUUUUUGAAACAGACAUACAGCUUUCAGAUAGCAAGGAAUUGCAGUUUCUGUCUUGAGGCAGAAGUAGGUAUUAACCAUUAAAAUAUACAGCAGAUAUAAUAACCAAUGUAUUAAAAAUUCUUAAAACAUAAAGUUUUAAGUUUGAGUUGGGUUUAGGUUUGAGUCUCUUCAACCUUUUUUUUUUUUUUUUUUUUUUUUUUUUU